GGGAAAAAGAAAAAAGGUAGUCAGUGUUUUUGUUUCAGUUUUACCAGGCUUGAUAAUAUCCCCAAACUUAGAGUAUUUUAAACCAAAUGACAUGAAGCUCAAACAUCAAGACAUGCAAGUGCCAGAAAAAAAAAACAAACCCAGAACUGCUGGGAGCAGCAGCUUCUGCUUGGAAGUGGCUCUUACUCAAUAUUUUGCUAUAUGCAGGGAACUAUUCUAAAAGAAGUGGAAGUUUGUCCUUCUGUAUUUGAGCACCACCAUCCCAAUCACAAAUAAUAUUCUUUCCUCAAAAGAUGCAAUUCUGGAAAAACUUCUGUUCAUAAUUUUCCCAUUUUGAAUAUUCAUUAUUGACAUUUAUCUGCAUCACAAAUGUAUCUACACCUGUUACAAGUCAAUUUCACGAAUCAAGAGGCUGGCAAUACAUUAGGAAGCCCAUUAGAAGUGAAAAGUUAUAUAGUAAAUUAUCCUUCAGUUAUGAAAGAAUAAUAUACUACAUUGACAGAUCUGUAACAGCACUAGAGUCCAAGAACAAAAUUAAUCCAAACUGAUGAAAUAGGCUACAGUAGAGGCUCAGUCACUGACAAGGGGCUAGUGUUCUGAGGUAAUAAGCAUAGUGCCCUGAGAAUC
Long non-coding RNA from Gavialis gangeticus (Gharial), 627 nucleotides. RefSeq lists it as uncharacterized. The record is from RefSeq and is a predicted model, not a curated record. Lineage: Eukaryota; Metazoa; Chordata; Crocodylia; Gavialidae. The transcript is spliced from 3 exons.